UACGGAGGAUUCAAGCGUUAUCCGGAUUUAUUGGGUUUAAAGGGAGCGCAGGCGGUAUGGCAAGUCAGAUGUGAAAACCCAGGGCCCAACCCUGGGACUGCAUUUGAAACUGCCAUACUGGAGUGCCGGAGAGGUAAGCGGAAUUCCUAGUGUAGCGGUGAAAUGCGUAGAUAUUAGGAGGAACACCAGUGGCGAAGGCGGCUUACUGGACUGUAACUGACGUUGAGGCUCGAAAGCGUGGGGAGCAAACAGG
RNAcentral lists this ribosomal RNA (253 nucleotides) under uncultured Eubacteriales bacterium. RNAcentral describes it as "uncultured Clostridiales bacterium partial 16S ribosomal RNA". It matches the Rfam family "Bacterial small subunit ribosomal RNA", at positions 524 to 776 of the family's 1533-position model. The record is from RNAcentral. Lineage: Bacteria; Bacillati; Bacillota; Clostridia; Eubacteriales.